RNAcentral lists this microRNA precursor (84 nucleotides) under Anolis carolinensis (green anole). RNAcentral describes it as "microRNA aca-mir-5460 precursor". Lineage: Eukaryota; Metazoa; Chordata; Lepidosauria; Squamata; Anolidae. The record is from miRBase by way of RNAcentral.
CAUGGACAGGAAGCCACUGAGCCUUUCCAGUCAUGGAGAGUGACACUCAAAUGACUGAAAAGGCUCAGUGGCUUCUUGUCCUUG